CUACGGGUCGCUCCAGUGAGGAAUAUUGCACAAUGGGGGGAACCCUGAUGCAGCAACGCCGCGUGGAGGAUGACGCAUUUCGGUGUGUAAACUCCUUUUAUAUGUCAAGAAAAUGACGGUAGCAUAUGAAUAAGCACCGGCUAACUCCGUGCCAGCAGCCGCGGUAAUACGGAGGGUGCAAGCGUUACUCGGAAUCACUGGGCGUAAAGGACGCGUAGGCGGGUUGGAAAGUCAGGUGUGAAAUCCUACAGCUUAACUGUAGAACUGCACUUGAAACUUCUAAUCUAGAGUAUGGGAGGGGGAGAUGGAAUUAGUGGUGUAGGGGUAAAAUCCGUAGAUAUCACUAGGAAUACCUAAAGCGAAGGCGAUCUCCUGGAACAUUACUGACACUAAGGCGUGAAAGCGUGGGGAGCAAACAGGAUUAGAUACCCCAGUAGUC
Molecule: ribosomal RNA, 439 nt
Filed under: uncultured bacterium
Lineage: Bacteria
Description: partial 16S ribosomal RNA
Rfam family: Bacterial small subunit ribosomal RNA
Source: RNAcentral